GACGAACGCUGGCGGCGUGCCUAAUACAUGCAAGUAGAACGCUGAAGGAGGAGCUUGCUUCUCUGGAUGAGUUGCGAACGGGCGAGUAACGCGUAGGUAACCUGCCUGGUAGCGGGGGAUAACUAUUGGAAACGAUAGCUAAUACCGCAUAAGAGUAGAUGUCGCAUGACAUUUGCUUAAAAGGUGCAAUUGCAUCACUACUAGAUGGACCUGCGUUGUAUUAGCUAGUUGGUGAGGUAACGGCUCACCAAGGCAACGAUACAUAGCCGACCUGAGAGGGUGAACGGCCACACUGGGACUGGGACACGGCCCAGACUCCUACGGGAGGCAGCAGUAGGGAAUCUUCGGCAAUGGACGGAAGUCUGACCGAGCAACGCCGCGGGAGUGAAGAAGGUUAUCGGAUCGUAAAGCUCUGUUGUAAGGGAAGAACGAGUGUGAGAGUGGAAAGUUCACACUGUGACGGUAUCUGACCAGAAAGGGACGGCUAACUACGUG
RNAcentral lists this ribosomal RNA (495 nucleotides) under uncultured bacterium. Its description in RNAcentral is "partial 16S ribosomal RNA". It matches the Rfam family "Bacterial small subunit ribosomal RNA", at positions 28 to 507 of the family's 1533-position model. The record is from RNAcentral.